CACUGUGGAAGGUCGACUGCUGGAGGAGUCCGGAUGGUACUGUAGAAGUUCGGAUUGUCGGAGGAGUUCGAAAGACGCCGCACAAGGUCGGAAGCCAGAAGAGUCCUGGGAGGGUUGGCCUCUUAUGAACUUUGGCUGGGGUUAUUUUAUACCCAAACUAGUCCCCCUACUUUUGAGUUCGGGUUUCGAAUGAAGAAAGUACAGAAAAAUUUUUACAGUCGAAGUUGCCUCCCUUAGAGACUGAGGAUUUUUGACAAGAGUUUUCUUCCUCAUUGAGA
Molecule: long non-coding RNA, 278 nt
Filed under: Elaeis guineensis (African oil palm)
Lineage: Eukaryota; Viridiplantae; Streptophyta; Magnoliopsida; Arecales; Arecaceae
Description: long non-coding RNA (EGUI_LNC075459)
Source: RNAcentral